CAUGCCGUAAACGAUGAUUACUAGGUGUGGGGGGUCUGACCCCUUCCGUGCCGGAGUUAACACAAUAAGUAAUCCACCUGGGGAGUACGACCGCAAGGUUGAAACUCAAAGGAAUUGACGGGGGCCCGCACAAGCAGUGGAGUAUGUGGUUUAAUUCGAAGCAACGCGAAGAACCUUACCAGGUCUUGACAUCUAUCGAAACCCUAAGAGAUUAGGGCGUGCCCUUCGGGGAACGGUAAGACAGGUGG
This 248-nucleotide ribosomal RNA is filed under the name uncultured bacterium. RNAcentral's name for it is "partial 16S ribosomal RNA". It matches the Rfam family "Bacterial small subunit ribosomal RNA", at positions 796 to 1041 of the family's 1533-position model. The record is from RNAcentral.